RNAcentral lists this ribosomal RNA (396 nucleotides) under uncultured Methanosaeta sp. Its description in RNAcentral is "bacterial SSU rRNA". It matches the Rfam family "Archaeal small subunit ribosomal RNA", at positions 943 to 1338 of the family's 1478-position model. The record is from RNAcentral. Lineage: Archaea; Methanobacteriati; Methanobacteriota; Methanomicrobia; Methanotrichales; Methanotrichaceae.
CAAUAUGAAGGUCAGGCUGAAGACCUUACCCGAUUAGCUGAGAGGUGGUGCAUGGCCGUCGUCAGUUCGUACUGUGAAGCAUCCUGUUAAGUCAGGCAACGAGCGAGACCCACGUCCACAGUUGCCAGCAUACCCUCCGGGGUGAUGGGUACACUGUGGAGACCGCCGCUGCUAAAGCGGAGGAAGGAGUGGGCAACGGUAGGUCAGUAUGCCCCGAAUCUCCCGGGCUACACGCGGGCUACAAUGGUUGGUACAAUGGGCAGCUACCCCGAAAGGGGAAGGAAAUCUCUUAAAGCCAAUCGUAGUUCGGAUUGAGGGCUGCAACUCGCCCUCAUGAAGCUGGAAUCCGUAGUAAUCGCGUUUCAACAGAACGCGGUGAAUACGUCCCUGCUCCUU